AGCGAACAGAUAAGGAGCUUGCUCCUUUGACGUUAGCGGCGGACGGGUGAGUAACACGUGGGUAACCUACCUAUAAGACUGGGAUAACUUCGGGAAACCGGAGCUAAUACCGGAUAACAUUUGGAACCGCAUGGUUCUAAAGUGAAAGAUGGUUUUGCUAUCACUUAUAGAUGGACCCGCGCCGUAUUAGCUAGUUGGUAAGGUAACGGCUUACCAAGGCGACGAUACGUAGCCGACCUGAGAGGGUGAUCGGCCACACUGGAACUGAGACACGGUCCAGACUCCUACGGGAGGCAGCAGUAGGGAAUCUUCCGCAAUGGGCGAAAGCCUGACGGAGCAACGCCGCGUGAGUGAUGAAGGGUUUCGGCUCGUAAAACUCUGUUAUUAGGGAAGAACAAACGUGUAAGUAACUGUGCACGUCUUGACGGUACCUAAUCAGAAAGCCACGGCUAACUACGUGCCAGCAGCCGCGGUAAUACGUAGGUGGCAAGCGUUAUCCGGAAUUAUUGGGCGUAAAGCGCGCGUAGGCGGUUUCUUAAGUCUGAUGUGAAAGCCCACGGCUCAACCGUGGAGGGUCAUUGGAAACUGGGAAACUUGAGUGCAGAAGAGGAAAGUGGAAUUCCAUGUGUAGCGGUGAA
Molecule: ribosomal RNA, 638 nt
Filed under: bacterium 5GR
Lineage: Bacteria
Also listed under: 1 other name
Description: bacterial SSU rRNA
Rfam family: Bacterial small subunit ribosomal RNA
Source: RNAcentral